UGGGGAAUAUUGGGGCAAUGGGGGGCGAAAGCCUGACCCAGCGACGCCGCGUGAGGGAAGAAGGUCUUCGGAUUGUAAACCUCUUUCAGCAGGGAAGAAGAAAGUGACGGUACCUGCAGAAGAAGUCACGGCUAACUACGUGCCAGCAGCCGCGGUAAUACGUAGGUGGCGAGCGUUAUCCGGAAUUACUGGGUGUAAAGGGUGUGUAGGCGGGGCGGCAAGUCAGGCGUGAAAUUAUGGGCUCAACCCAUAAAGUGCGCUUGAAACUGUUGUUCUUGAGUGUGGGAGAGGUAAACGGAAUUCCUGGUGUAGUAGUGAAAUGCGUAGAUAUCAGGAGGAACACCGGUGGCGAAGGCGGUUUACUGGACCAUAACUGACGCUGAGACACGAAAGCGUGGGGAGCAAACAGGAUUAGAUACCCUGGUAGU
This 428-nucleotide ribosomal RNA is filed under the name uncultured Ruminococcus sp. RNAcentral describes it as "bacterial SSU rRNA". It matches the Rfam family "Bacterial small subunit ribosomal RNA", at positions 355 to 794 of the family's 1533-position model. The record is from RNAcentral. Lineage: Bacteria; Bacillati; Bacillota; Clostridia; Eubacteriales; Oscillospiraceae.